UACAGAGGUCCCGAGCGUUGUUCGGAUUCAUUGGGCGUAAAGGGUGCGUAGGCGGUCUUCUAAGUUUGAUGUGAAAUCCCGGGGCUCAACCCUGGAAUUGCAUUGAAUACUGGAGGACUAGAGUAUGGCAGAGGUGUGUGGAACUCCGAGUGUAGAGGUGAAAUUCGUAGAUAUUCGGAAGAACACCAGUGGCGAAGGCGACACACUGGGCCAUUACUGACGCUGAGGCGCGAAAGCGUGGGGAGCAAACAGG
This 253-nucleotide ribosomal RNA is filed under the name uncultured bacterium. Its description in RNAcentral is "partial 16S ribosomal RNA". It matches the Rfam family "Bacterial small subunit ribosomal RNA", at positions 524 to 776 of the family's 1533-position model. The record is from RNAcentral.